CCGCCCGGUGCCCAGGCCCGUCCCGGCCCGGGAGCCGCCGCGGCGCCAGCCCCGCCGCCUCUGCAGCGUCCGCCGCCGCCAGCGCCCCCCGUCGCGGCCGCCGAGCGUCCCUCCCGCAGGCUGUGGCGGGCGGCGGGACGGGUUGCAUCAGCCCCGGCUAUAUAGCGGCCCCUGGGCGGCGGGGAGGGGUCGGGAAUGCGGAACCGGCGGAGCUGCCAGCUCCAGACGUCAGAGGGGGACGGAGAGGAAGGGAAGGAGGGGACAGGGGAGGAGGGGGUGUGGAUCCGGCGCUUCACACCCACUGACCUUCACCUCCCCCGCCGCCUCCGGCGCCCUCCUCCCGCCGCCGCUCGCGCUCCUCUGCCCGCAGGGGCGGCCGGGCCCCCGGCUCGCCGGCCCGGGCUCCACAGCGGCCCGGGGCGCUCCCACCCCGCGGCUCAGGAGCGCGCGAGAAAGCAGGACGCGGAGCUCGGUUAUGUAAGAGCAUCCCCCGCGCUCCGCCGCCCGGCUGCCACCCCCGGGACACGAGCGCGGCCCCGGGAGGCAGAAAGCAGAAGGCGGCAGUGGGACAAGCCAAGAGCCCCUUGGAGUAGAGCCUGUGGGGGACCAUCUUCCGCCGUCCUCGGCGCUCUCCCCCAGACCCACAGCACACAGUUGCGUCCUUGGACACUUCAGGACUGAGUGGUGAGGAGGUGAUCUCGCAAGCCGGUUUUGCUUUUCUGUGAAGGAUAGGCAGAGGAUUGUUAUCUUGGAAGAGCCUUUUCAGCGUCCCUCAGUCUUGAGAUCACCCGGUGCAUGAGCUUGUCCUCCUGGAGGGCUGCCCCCGAGACCACUGCUGUCUCCGUGGCUGGCCCAGUUUGGCCCCGGGCUUUUUGCCCUAGUCUAGCAGGCUUCUCCUCUCCAGGGACAGACAGCAGUGAACAGACCAGCUCUCCGUAGACUCCCAGUGGCCUUCUUCCCCAGCAGGACUUCCAUGGCCAGCUCCACUCCUACCUCCCAUCCUUCUAAACAGGUAGAUGGUAAAGGAGACCCCAGAGGAAAUGUUUCAUCCAUGGUGCCCUCCACUCUGCGAAAGCGGAGACACAGAGCCCUCAGGCAGAAACAUGGCACCUGCCUCCAGGGUACCCAGCCUUCCUUUCUGCCUAAGCUAGAUAGGGAUGGCAACACUUAUGCUCAGUGACCUUCAGCCUCUUUCUCAGAGUGAUGACAGGUCAUCACCCAAAGAAGAAAGGAAGUGAAAGAAACAGUUCAUGCCUUGUUGGAGUGCAGAUGCUCAGAGUGAAAGGAACAGGACUUGAGACCAGAUGGGAGCACAUGAGCCAAGCGCAGCACGCAUGUCUCCUCAAUGUGGUGCGUGGAAGCUACAUUCCCCUGGUUUCCAAGGCACUGAAAUCUUUCUGUACAAGAGAACUGGUCUUAUGGAAAGACCCAAGUUCUGAUGCCAUUGCCUGUCCGUUUCACCAUGACCAUCAGCAAGCUCUCUCACAACACUGAUGGAGGAAAGUAAGGCCCUAAAAGAACACAUAUGGCAACUGAGCAGUAAUGUGAUAGACUUGUGGGAGAAGAGGCCUCGGAGAGGCCAACUACACCUUUAUUCCAGCACAGAGAUCAAAGCUGGGUGCUGAGAAACUGCCCUGUGAUGUUUCUCCCGCAAGACUAGGGUCUGGACAUUUAUAUGGAAGAAAACAGUGAACAGGGGCAACAUGAUUUUAUGUGUCUUCUGCUGGGACUUUGAAAAAACUAAACUGAUCUACACGCAGGGACUAAUAAUUUACGUGUGUGGUUACCACCAGCCCUCUCCAGGGCCUACUUUGGCCCACAGUAGAGCCGCUGGCAGUCCUAGUGGGCCUUUGCUUCCCCCCACAAAUUAAAUAUGCUCCAGGGGUGGCACCAAGGUGUGACUGGCGAUCUUUACCACCACCACCAUCCCACUGGCUUAUAAUAUCCGUUUAAUCUCCCCGUUAUUUGAUAUGGAUGUUUUUCAACUCUAUAUAGGAUGCUGUACAAACAGCUCAGGGCCACCUUCCCACCACAUUGCCCCCUACCAGGUCCCUCUGCUUAGCCACUGCCUCUAGGAGUGGCUGGAGACAGAGGCCAUAAACUGGCUCCUUUGUGCAGACAUCAUCCUGCUUCUUCUCCCUGAGUUGUCUGAUGCAACAGAUUUGCCUCUGGCUUUUAGGCUCAGACAGUGGCCCAGCCUAAGGCAAUUCAAAUUUAGGUUUCCUAUCACUUGCAACUAGAAAAGUCCUCAUUAAGAUACCCAGCCCUGGCCAGUGGCUGAUUCAGAAACUGUCUUGCAUCCCUGGUAAAGCUGAGGAGACUAGGAAUUUGGUGGAUCUCCUGGGAAGAGAAGUUGCCAGAAGCUGGACCUGAAUCUGAAAGGGGUCUACCAAGAAUAUAGCUAAUGCAAAAGAAGAGGAGAGAGGAGAAGAGCCAAGCCAGGAAGGGGAAGACAGAAUGUCCUCAUUAAUAAAUGAGUUUUGUAUCACUGACUUGUUUGGACUAUUUCAUUUUAAAGUUCAAUGUACAUCAGUGAAUCCCAGGCUCUUUACAAAGAAGAAAAAGUGAAAUUGUAAGU
This 2578-nucleotide long non-coding RNA is filed under the name Marmota monax (woodchuck). Lineage: Eukaryota; Metazoa; Chordata; Mammalia; Rodentia; Sciuridae. The record is from RNAcentral.